Molecule: ribosomal RNA, 255 nt
Filed under: uncultured prokaryote
Description: partial 16S ribosomal RNA
Rfam family: Bacterial small subunit ribosomal RNA
Source: RNAcentral
UAAUACGAAGGGGGCUAGCGUUGUUCGGAAUCACUGGGCGUAAAGCGCACGCAGGCGGAUUGAUAAGUCGGGGGUGAAAUCCCGGGGCUCAACCUCGGAAUUGCCUUCGAUACUGUCUGUCUUGAGUCCGGGAGAGGUGAGUGGAAUUCCUAGUGUAGAGGUGAAAUUCGUAGAUAUUAGGAAGAACACCAGUGGCGAAGGCGGCUCACUGGCCCGGUACUGACGCUCAUGUGCGAAAGCGUGGGGAGCAAACAG